Quercus lobata is the source of this 686-nucleotide long non-coding RNA. RefSeq lists it as uncharacterized. The record is from RefSeq and is a predicted model, not a curated record. The transcript has 2 exons. Lineage: Eukaryota; Viridiplantae; Streptophyta; Magnoliopsida; Fagales; Fagaceae.
CUUUUCUAUUCAUCAAAGAUCAGUCAAGAAAGCCAUCAAACAAGAUUGUACCCAAAAAAAAAAAAAAAUUGAUAUGAUUACAAGCCAGGAAGAAAGAGAGAAGAACUUAAAGGCUAAGAGAGAUAGUCACAGAUACAGUAGGAGCAAUCUUGAAAGACCAUUAAUGCUUUCAGGGGCAGUUGUUUGCUUUGUUAGAUUAAUUUAACUCAGAUUUCAAGGCUUAUAGUGAGACAUCUUCUCAUCGAGGGGAAAUCAUGAUAGCGCUUAAAGCUCUCAACUGUGGCCCUGUUGACACUGAUAAGCUCUAUGCAGUGGUGAUGGCAACAGAAGCUUUUGAUGAGCAGAUGCUUGCAACUACUUAUGAUCAUUUGGUUUAUGAUGAAUUGGCGGGAAGAUUCUUUAGGGCUAAAAAUGCUGAACUGUGAAAAUUUUGGUUAGAGAACUUUUUAACCAAAAAUGGUGGUCACUAAAGUUUGUUAAGCAUUAUGAAACAAUGUUAAUGGUAGUAUUAUGGUUAUAUAUUAGGGAACAAUGUGUCUUUUGAAUGAACUUGGAUGGUAGUAGUGUUUUGGAUGGUUAUGUAUUAAACCAGGAUGGGAAUGGUAUAAUGGUUAUGUGUUAUGGAAGAAUGUUAAGUGUUUGGAUGAUUAUGAAUUAUAACUUAGAUGGUGGUGGUAUUAUUGUUA